Molecule: ribosomal RNA, 629 nt
Filed under: uncultured Gemmatimonadota bacterium
Lineage: Bacteria; Pseudomonadati; Gemmatimonadota
Description: bacterial SSU rRNA
Rfam family: Bacterial small subunit ribosomal RNA
Source: RNAcentral
GGGGGAGCGACCCCUUCGGUGCCGUCGCUAACGCAGUAAGUACCCCGCCUGGGGAGUACGGCCGCAAGGCUGAAACUCAAAGGAAUUGACGGGGGCCCGCACAAGCGGUGGAGCAUGUGGUUUAAUUCGAUGCAACGCGAAGAACCUUACCUGGGCUUGACAUGCACGUGAAACCCCGUGGAAACACGGGGCCCUCUUCGGAGUACGUGCACAGGUGCUGCACGGCUGUCGUCAGCUCGUGUCGUGUGAUGUUGGGUUAAGUCCCGCAACGAGCGCAACCCUCGCUCCCAGUUGCCAGCGGUUCGGCCGGGGACUCUGGGGGGACUGCCGGUGUCAAACCGGAGGAAGGCGGGAAUGACGUCAAGUCCUCAUGGCCCUUACGCCCAGGGCGACACACGUGCUACAAUGGCCGGUACAACGCGCUGCGAACCCGCGAGGGUGAGCCAAUCGCUUAAAGCCGGUCUAAGUUCGGAUUGUAGUCUGUAACUCGACUGCAUGAAGCCGGAAUCGCUAGUAAUCGCGGAUCAGCCAUGCCGCGGUGAAUACGUUCCCGGGCCUUGUACACACCGCCCGUCACGCCAUGGAAGCUGGGGGCACCCGAAGCCGGUGGGCUAACCGCAAGGAGGCAG